This 433-nucleotide ribosomal RNA is filed under the name uncultured bacterium. RNAcentral describes it as "partial 16S ribosomal RNA". It matches the Rfam family "Bacterial small subunit ribosomal RNA", at positions 29 to 507 of the family's 1533-position model. The record is from RNAcentral.
AACGAACGCUGGCGGCAUGCCUAACACAUGCAAGUCGAACGAGACCUUCGGGUCUAGUGGCGCACGGGUUCGUAACGCGUGGGAACCUGCCCUUAGGUUCGGAAUAACUCCCCGAAAGGGGUGCUAAUACCGGAUAAUGUCUUCGGACCAAAGAUUUAUCGCCUUUGGAUGGGCCCGCGUUGGAUUAGCUAGUUGGUAGGGUAAAAGCCUACCAAGGCGACGAUCCAUAGCUGGUCUGAGAGGAUGAUCAGCCACACUGGGACUGAGACACGGCCCAGACUCCUACGGGAGGCAGCAGUGGGGAAUAUUGGAAAAUGGGCGAAAGCCUGAACCAGCAAUGACGCGUGAGUGAUGAAGGCCUUAGGGUUGUAAAGCUCUUUUACCCGGGAUGAUAAUGACAGUACCGGGAGAAUAAGCUCCGGCUAACUCCGUG